This is a long non-coding RNA of Hemibagrus wyckioides, 2051 nucleotides long. RefSeq lists it as uncharacterized. The record is from RefSeq and is a predicted model, not a curated record. The transcript is spliced from 3 exons. NCBI's taxonomy places the organism in Eukaryota, Metazoa, Chordata, Actinopteri, Siluriformes, Bagridae.
UCUGUGAGCCCUUGUGGCCUGUAGGUUGGGGAGAAGUAUUAAUAGAAGAAACCACUCCAACCAGGCUAGAAAUUUUUCCCUAUAAAAUAAUAGUGAUCACACAGAUCAAUUUGGGAAUGAUACGCCAUGACCGUUUAUUCUAAGGAGACAAGUGGACCCAAAGUAAGUUCAAAGAAUUUAUUUUAUUAAGUAAAUAACCAGAAUUGAUAAAGAGUUUAUACAGAAUUUAACAAAUAUUUACUUCACACACUUUUGGGAUGCGGAAGAUAUGUAAUAAAUUCCAAAUAAGCCAUCAUGUGAUCUUUUGUUGUAUUAAUGGAUUAGCUGGUUUCCACAAUCUCCACCUACUUUGUUUACCAUUGGAGGAACCAGCCUUUCUCUACAUGUCCUGCUAAUGCCAGAUACCGUCUGGUCUUUAUGGAGCAUGACAAUAUUCAAACACAGAGUUUGCCAGACACCUGUGACACUUGGCAUUUCCCCAGGUUUGGCGAUCUUUGCCUCUCUUUCUUCUCCUUGCUCAAGCCAACUGACGUCUCUUUUUCUCUUCCAGGAUUCUUGUUGCAAGUGCUAGAGUUCUAUUUCCAUGAUAAGAUCUCAAGCAACCUUUAAAAGGCAGUAAGAAAGAGAGAGAUCACUCCAUUGAAUUUGGGCCUCCUGAGUCUCUGGCUGCUUGCUCCUGAUAACACUGGAGGAAUUGUUCUCCGACUUCUCUGCACAUUUAUAAAUAGUUGCCGCAACCAGUUCCUUCUGUGUGGGAGUUACUGAGGUGUUUUCAUGGCCAUCCCACAGAGAAGAGCAGAUGGUGAUGUGCACCUUAUCAAACUCUGGCUGCCUCUCCAGCUUGGCCUGCAGGGGAACGGAUGAAACUACAUCUGUCUGCGUCCUUCCCUGCUAUGCCUCGUCGCCUUUACUGGACCUCAGCCACAAUGUCGUCAAACCAUCCUCAAAGUCACUCUGACCCCCAAAUCUCUCUCCCUCCCGGUUACGUGACUUUAUUUAAUUACUGCACCAGAAAGGUAGAAGUACUGCUUUUGGAUUGCCUUAACAUCAUGGAUCAUUUACAUUUGCUCAUUUGGCAGAUGCUUUUUUUUUUUGUUUUAUCUAAAGCGACUUGAAAAUGAAGGUUAAUGCUCUUGCUUAAAGACCCAAAUGUUGUAGCUUUUAGUGAUGAUGGGUUUUGAACUAGCAACCUUCCAGUGUUUCAGUUUUAAUAAAUCAUCUAUAGCACUCUUUUCUCUUUUCGCUCUCAGGGGAAGAAUAUUGAAUGAGCACGCUUUUGAGUCCUUAAAUGACCUUCUCUUGUGUGGAGAGGUCUUUUCACUAUAAACGAUAAUAAAAAAUUAAAAAAAAAAAAAAAACACUUUUAGUAAAGUAUGUGGGAAUUGAGUGUAAUGGAAUUAAAGUAAUGUUGCUGAUAAAGAAUUCGAUGAGAGGAUGUGUUAAGAGGAAACUCCCUCCUCACAUUUAGCCCAUACAUCUCAGGUUCAGGGAAGGCAUUUGAUGCAAUGGACCCUGGUUUUAUUACCUUUUUUUUAAAGGACAAAGGAUGACGGGACAAAACACUGGAUGUAUUACUUAUGCAGACUUUGAGUGUACUGAUGGACGUCUGGUGCAGCAAUGACCCAGAGUAUAUCAUGGAGUCAUUGAAUGCAUCAUUAAAUGAAUCUUUGCUUCAAUAUUUUUGAUUUUUUAUCAUUUAUACUGAUAAAAGGGUUCCAGCGUAUAGCCGUAUUACAUAACUAGCUAAAUAUGUUAUGGGACAAUUGAGAAGUUUCUCUUGGCAGCAUGUCCAGCUAACCUUAGUUAGAUUUUCAUUUAUUCCCUUCAGGAGUGAUGUGAAUAAUUUUAUCUCUAGUAGCCUGAAACUCUAGUCGAAAUGAUUAUUACUGAAAUUGCUAGGACAGAGAAAUCUUCGACGGAGCAGACAGAAGUAGGAGGAAAGAAGUCUGUCAAGAAAUCCAAAAAUUCAGCUUGAAUGGUGCCAAGUCUAUUGCACAUGUCUUAAAUGUAAUGUGCUUGAUGCACAAAGCAAAAUUGUUUAUCCUUUGUUU